Non-coding RNA from Mus caroli (Ryukyu mouse), 291 nucleotides. NCBI's taxonomy places the organism in Eukaryota, Metazoa, Chordata, Mammalia, Rodentia, Muridae. The record is from RefSeq and is a predicted model, not a curated record.
UCCUCCUGCCUUGAUGAUAAUGGACUGAACCUCUGAACCUGAUCUCAUGCAGCUAAGGAAAGCCUUGAACUGACUUGACUAUACAGCAGAGAAUGACCUUGGUCUCUUGAUCUUCCAGCCUCCACCUGCCAAGGCCUGAAAUCACAAACUGGGACCACCAUACAUGCCUGAAUCCCUUACACUUUCCAAAAAGGGAAGGAAACAAAAAGAGAUUAAAUGCCCUCUCCUAGGCUGUGAUCUGAGAAACCAAACUGUUGCUAAUAAACUCUCUUCCUAGAAGAUUUAAAUCUA